Molecule: ribosomal RNA, 404 nt
Filed under: uncultured bacterium
Lineage: Bacteria
Also listed under: 1 other name
Description: bacterial SSU rRNA
Rfam family: Bacterial small subunit ribosomal RNA
Source: RNAcentral
UGGGGAAUAUUGGACAAUGGGCGCAAGCCUGAUCCAGCCAUGCCGCGUGAGUGAUGACGGCCUUAGGGUUGUAAAGCUCUUUCGACGGGGACGAUAAUGACGGUACCCGUAGAAGAAGCCCCGGCUAACUUCGUGCCAGCAGCCGCGGUAAUACGAAGGGGGCAAGCGUUGUUCGGAAUCACUGGGCGUAAAGGGCGCGUAGGCGGACAUUUAAGUCAGGGGUGAAAUCCCGGGGCUCAACCCCGGAACUGCCCUUGAUACUGGGUGUCUUGAGACCGGAAGAGGUAAGUGGAACUGCGAGUGUAGAGGUGAAAUUCGUAGAUAUUCGCAAGAACACCAGUGGCGAAGGCGGCUUACUGGUCCGGAUCUGACGCUGAGGCGCGAAAGCGUGGGGAGCAAACAGG